This 253-nucleotide ribosomal RNA is filed under the name uncultured bacterium. Its description in RNAcentral is "partial 16S ribosomal RNA". It matches the Rfam family "Bacterial small subunit ribosomal RNA", at positions 524 to 776 of the family's 1533-position model. The record is from RNAcentral.
UACGAAGGGGGCUAGCGUUGCUCGGAAUCACUGGGCGUAAAGCGCACGUAGGCGGAUUGUUAAGUCAGGGGUGAAAUCCUGGAGCUCAACUCCAGAACUGCCUUUGAUACUGGCGAUCUUGAGUCCGGGAGAGGUGAGUGGAACUGCGAGUGUAGAGGUGAAAUUCGUAGAUAUUCGGAAGAACACCAGUGGCGAAGGCGGCUCACUGGUCCGGUACUGACGCUGAGGUGCGAAAGCGUGGGGAGCAAACAGG